UAGGGGUGAAAUUCCAAUCGAACCCGGAGAUAGCUGGUUCUCCCCGAAAUAGCUUUAGGGCUAGCGUCGAGAGAAGAGUUGCGUGAAGGUAGAGCACUGAAUAUGUGAUGGCCCCAUCUCGGGGUACUGAGCAUAAUCAAACUGCGAAUGUCACGCCAACAUGCUCGGCAGUCAGACAGCGGGUGAUAAGGUCCGUUGUCAAGAGGGAAACAGCCCAGACCAUCAGCUAAGGUCCCAAAAUGUAUGCUAAGUGGAAAAGGAUGUGGAGAUGUACAGACAACUAGGAGGUUGGCUCAGAAGCAGCCAUCCUUUAAAGAGUGCGUAACAGCUCACUAGUCGAAUGACUCUGCGCCGAUAAUUUACCGGGGCUAAGCAUACUACCGAAGCUAUGGAUCCCAAGGGAUGGUAGGGGAGCGUUCCAUGAACGGAGAAGUACGACCGAAAGGACGUGUGGAGAUCAUGGAAGAGAGAAUGCCGGUGUGAGUAGCGGAACGUGGGUGAGAAUCCCACGCACCGAAAACCCAAGGUUUCCAGAGGAAGGUUCGUCCGCUCUGGGUAAGUCGGGACCUAAGGCGAGGCCGAAAGGCGUAGUCGAUGGACAACAGGUAGAGAUUCCUGUACCCGUAUAUAUGUGAAGGAAUGACGGAGAGAGGAAGCUGCAGCCAGCGGCUGGAAGAGCUGGUGCAAGCGAGAUAUCGGGAUGGCAGGCAAAUCCACCAUCCGAAACGAGAAGGCGUGAAGCGUACGGAAAGCUACGGCGAGUACGGAAGGCAGUGGAGGAACUUCCAAGAAAAGUUUCUAACGUUAAGUAUAUAUGGCCCGUACCGAAAAUGGACACACAUGGGUGAGGAGAGAAUCCUAAGGUGAGCGAGAGAACUAUAGCUAAGGAACUCUGCAAAAUGACUCCGUAACUUAGGGAGAAGGAGUGCUCAUAGAGAUAUGAGCCGCAGUGAAACGGCCCAAGCGACUGUUUACCAAAAACACAGCUCUCUGCUAAGCCGCAAGGCGAAGUAUAGGGGGUGACGCCUGCCCGGUGCUGGAAGGUUAAGGGGAGGGGUUAACGCAAGUGAAGCCCUGAACUGAAGCCCCAGUAAACGGCGGCCGUAACUAUAACGGUCCUAAGGUAGCGAAAUUCCUUGUCAGGUAAGUUCUGACCCGCACGAAAGGCGUAACGAUUUGGGCGCUGUCUCAGCUGUAGACUCGGUGAAGUCUUAGUACCUGUGAAGAUGCAGGUUACCCGCGACUAGACGGAAAGACCCCAUGGAGCUUCACUGCAGGUUGAUAUUGGGAUUUGAUGCAGCAUGUACAGGAUAGGUAGGAGGCAAAGAGAUGGAUACGCCAGUAUUCAAGGAGCCGCUGUUGGGAUACUACCCCUGUUGUAUUGGAUUUCUAACCGGACGACGUAGAGCCGUUGACGGGACAGUGUCAGUCGGGCAGUUUGACUGGGGCGGUCGCCUCCCAAAGAGUAACGGAGGCGCCCAAAGAUACCCUCAGCUUGGAUGGAAACCAAGCGCAGAGUGCAAAGGCAAAAGGGUGUUUGACUGCGAGACCUACAAGUCGAGCAGGGACGAAAGUCGGGCUUAGUGAUCCGGCGGUGCUGAAUGGAAAGGCCGUCGCUCAACGGAUAAAAGCUACCCUGGGGAUAACAGGCUGAUCUCCCCCAAGAGUUCACAUCGACGGGGAGGUUUGGCACCUCGAUGUCGGCUCAUC
RNAcentral lists this ribosomal RNA (1710 nucleotides) under metagenome. Its description in RNAcentral is "bacterial LSU rRNA". It matches the Rfam family "Bacterial large subunit ribosomal RNA", at positions 816 to 2541 of the family's 2925-position model. The record is from RNAcentral.